UGAUCCUGCCAGUAGUCAUACGCUCGUCUCAAAGAUUAAGCCAUGCAUGUGUAAGUAUAAAUAAUUUUACUUUGAAACUGCGAAUGGCUCAUUAUAUCAGUUAUAGUUUAUUAGAAAUAUUUUACUACUUGGAUAACCGUAGUAAUUCUAGGGCUAAUACAUGAGUAAAACCUCAACUUCGGAAGAGGUGUGUUUAUUAGUAUGAAAACCAUAUAUCUUCGGAUAUAAUAGUGAGUAAUAAUAACCUUUCAUAUCGUAUGUCGUAAGAUAACGAUAGUUCUUUCAAGUUUCUGCCCUAUCAGCUUUCGAUGGUAGUAUAUGGGACUACCAUGGCAGUAACGGGUAACGAAGAAUUUGGGUUCGAUUUCGGAGAGGGAGCCUGAGAGAUGGCUACCACAUCCAAGGAAGGCAGCAGGCGCGUAAAUUACCCAAUCCUGACAUAGGGAGGUAGUGACAAUAAAUCACAAUGCGGAACUUUU
This 479-nucleotide ribosomal RNA is filed under the name Blastocystis sp. RNAcentral's name for it is "SSU rRNA". It matches the Rfam family "Eukaryotic small subunit ribosomal RNA", at positions 9 to 495 of the family's 1831-position model. The record is from RNAcentral. Lineage: Eukaryota; Bigyra; Opalinata; Blastocystidae.